GGCGUGGGCGAAGUUCGUCCGCGGGACUCGGAAUGGCACCAGACUUGGCGGGCGGCCUCCGUGUGCCAAAAAUAGGCCACGGGCACAGCCGCGCCCAAAAAACAGCCCCCGAAGUUCGGGGUCCCAAGACCCCCCAGCGGAAAAAUGGCCAAAAAACGGUGGAAUAUAGCCUUGGUGGGGGGCGUGGGCGAAGUUCGUCCGUGGGACUCGGAAUGGCACCAGACAUGGCGGGCGGCCUCCGUGUGCCAAAAAUAGGCCACGAGCACAGCCGUGCCCAAAAAACAGCCCCCGAAGUUCGGGGUCCCAAGACCCCCCAGCGGAAAAAUGGCCAAAAAACGGGUGGGCUAUAGCCUUGGUGGGGGGCGUGGGAGAAGUUCGUCCGCGGCACUCGGAAUGGCACCAGACUUGGCGGGCGGCCUCCGUGUGCCAAAAAUAGGCCACGGGCACAGCCGCGCCCAAAAAACAACCCCCGAAGUUCGGGGUCCCAAGACCCCCCAGCGGAAAAAUGGCCAAAAAACGGUGGGCUAUAGCCUUGGUGGGGUGCGUGGGCGAAGUUCGUCCGCGGGACUCGGAAUGGCACCGAACAUGGCGGGCGGCCUCCAUGUGCCAAAAAUAGGCCACGGGCACAGCCGCGCCCAAAAAACAGCCCCCGAAGUUCGGGGUCCCAAGACCCCCCAGCAGAAAAAUGGCCAAAAAACGGGUGGGCUAUAGCCUUGGUGGGGGGCGUGGGCGAAGUUCGUCCGCGGGACUCGGAAUGGCACCGAACAUGGCGGGCGGCCUCCGUGUGCCAAAAAUAGGCCACGGGCACAGCCGCGCCCAAAAAACAGCCCCCGAAGUUCAGGGUCCCAAGACCCCCCAGCGGAAAAAUGGCCAAAAAACGGGUGGGCUAUAGCCUUGGUGGGGUGCGUGGGCGAAGUUCGUCCGUGGGACUCGGAAUGGCACCAGACUUGGCGGGCGGACUCCGUGUGCCAAAAAUAGGCCACGGGCACAGCCGCGCCCAAAAAACAACCCCCGAAGUUCGGGGUCCCAAGACCCCCCAGCGGAAAAUGGCCAAAAAACGGUGGGCUAUAGCCUUGGUGGGGGGCGUGGGCGAAGUUCGUCCGUGGGACUCGGAAUGGCACCAGACUUGGCGGGCGGCCUCCGUGUGCCAAAAAUAGGCCAUGGGCACAGCCGCGCCCAAAAUCAACCCCCGAAGUUCGGGGUCCCCAGACCCCCCAGCGGAAAAAUGGCCAAAAAACGGUGGGCUAUAGCCCUGGUGGGGUGCGUGGGCGAAGUUCGUCCGCGGGACUCGGAAUGGCACCAGACUUGGCGGGCGGCCUCCCUGUGCCAAAAAUAGGCCACGGGCACAGCCGCGCCCAAAAAGCAGCCCCCGAAGUUCGGGGUCCCAAGACCCCCCAGCGGAAAAAUGCCCCAAAAACGGUGGGCUAUAGCCUUGGUGGGGGGCGUGGGCGAAGUUCGUCCGUGGGACUCGGAAUGGCACCAGACUUGGCGGGCGGCCUCCGUGUGCCAAAAAUAGGCCACGGGCACAGCCGCGCCCAAAAACAACCCCCGAAGUUCGGGGUCCCAAGACCCCCCAGCGGAAAAAUGGCCAAAAAACGGUGGGCGAUAGCCUUGGUGGGGUGCGUGGGCGAAGUUCGUCCGCGGGACUCGGAAUGGCACCAGACUUGGCGGGCGCCCUCCGUGUGCCAAAAAUAGGCCACGGGCACAGCCGCGCCCAAAAAACAGCCCCAGAAGUUCGGGGUCCCAAGACCCCCCAGCGGAAAAAUGGCCAAAAAACGGGUGGGCUAUAGCCUUUGUGGGGGGCGUGGGCGAAGUUCGUCCGCGGGACUCGGAAUGGCACCAGACUUGGCGGGCGGCCUCCGUGUGCCAAAAAUAGGCCACGGGCGCAGCCGCGCCCAAAAAACAGCCCCCGAAGUUCGGGGUCCCAAGACCCCCCAGCGGAAAAAUGGCCAAAAAAUGGGUGGGCUAUAGCCUUGGUGGGGGGCGUGGGCGAAGUUCAUCCGCGGGACUCGGAAUGGCACCAGACUUGGCGGGCGGCCUCCGUGUGCCAAAAAUAGGCCACGGGCACAGCCGCGCCCAAAAAACAGCCCCCGAAGUUUGGGGUCCCAAGACCCCCCAGCGGAAAAAUGGCCAAAAAACGGUGGGCUAUAGCCUUGGUGGGGGGCGUGGGCGAAGUUCGUCCGUGGGACUCGGAAUGGCACCAGACUUGGCGGGCGGCCUCCGUGUGCCAAAAAUAGGCCACGGGCACAGCCGCGCCCAAAAAACAACCCCCGAAGUUCGGGGUCCCAAGACCCCCCAGCGGAAAAAUGGCCAAAAAACGGGUGGGCUAUAGCCUUGGUGGGGGGCGUGGGCGAAGUUCGUCCGCGGGACUCGGAACAGCACCGAACAUGGCGGGCGGCCUCCGUGUGCCAAAAAUAGGCCACGGGCACAGCCGCGCCCUAAAAACAUCCCCCGAAGUUCGGGGUCCCAAGACCCCCCAGCGGAAAAAUGGCCAAAAAACGGGUGGGCUAUAGCCUUGGUGGGGGGCAUGGGCGAAGUUCGUCCGCGGGACUCGGAAUGGCACCAGACUUGGCGGGCGGCCUCCGUGUGCCAAAAAUAGGCCACGGGCACAGCCGCGCCCAAAAAACAGCCCCCGAAGAUCGGGGUCCCAAGACCCCCCAGCGGAAAAAUGGCCAAAAAACGGUGGGCUAUAGCCUUGGUGGGGGGCGUGGGCGAAGUUCGUCUGUGGGAGUCGGAAUGGCACAGGACUUGGCGGGCGACCUCCGUAUGCCAAAAAUAGGCCACGGGCACAGCCACGCCCAAAAAACAGCCCCCGAAGUUCGGGGUCCCAAGACCCCCCAGCGGAAAAAUGGCCAAAAAACGGGUGGGCUAUAGCCUUGGUGGGGGGCGUGGGCGAAGUUCGUCCGCGGGACUCGGAAUGGCACCAGACUUGGCGGGCGGCCUCCGUGUGCCAAAAAUAGGCCACGGGCACAGCCGCGCCCAACAAACAGCCCCGGAAGUUCGGGGUCCCAAGACCCCCCAGCGGAAAAAUGGCCAAAAAAUGGGUGGGCUAUAGCCUUGGUGGGGGGCGUGGGCGAAGUUCGUCCGCGGGACUCGGAAGGGCACCAGACUUGGCGGGCGGCCUCCGUGUGCCAAAAAUAGGCCACGUGCACAGCCGCGCCCAAAAAACAGCCCCCGAAGUUCGGGGUCCCAAGACCCCCCAGCGGAAAAAUGGCCAAAAAACGGGUGGGCUAUAGCCUUGGUGGGGGGCGUGGGCGAAGUUCGUCCGCGGGACUCGGAAUGGCACCAGACUUGGCGGGCGGCCUCCGUGUGCCAAAAAUAGGCCACGGGCACAGCCGCGCCCAAAAAACAGCCCCCGAAGUUCGGGGUCCCAAGACCCCCCAGCGGAAAAAUGGCCAAAAAACGGGUGGGCUAUAACCUUGGUGGGGGGCGUGGGCGAAGUUCGUCCGUGGGACUCGGAAUGGCACCAGACUUGGCGGGCGGCCUCCGUGUGCCAAAAAUAGGCCACGGGCACAGCCGCGCCCAAAAAACAACCCCCGAAGUUCGGGGUCCCAAGACCCCCCAGCGGAAAAAUGGCCAAAAAACGGUGGGCUAUAGCCUUGGUGGGGGGCGUUGGCAAAGUUCGUCCGCGGGACUCGGAAUGGCACCAGACUUGGUGGGCGGCCUCCGUGUGCCAAAAAUAGGCCACGGGCACUGCCGCGCCCAAAAAACAGCCCCCGAAGUUCGGGGUCCCAAGACCCCCCAGCGGAAAAAUGGCCAAAAAACGGGUGGGCUAUAGCCUUGGUGGGGGGCGUGGGCGAAGUUCGUCCGCGGGACUCGGAAUGGCACCAGACUUGGCGGGCGGCCUCCGUGUGCCAAAAAUAGGCCACGGGCACAGCCGCGCCCAAAAACCAGCCCCCGAAGUUCGGGGUCCCAAGACCCCCCAGCGGAAAAAUGGCCAAAAAACGGGUGGGCUAUAACCUUGGUGGGGGGCGUGGGCGAAGUUCGUCCGUGGGACUCGGAAUGGCACCAGACUUGGCGGGCGGCCUCCGUGUGCCAAAAAUAGGCCACGGGCACAGCCGCGCCCAAAAAACAACCCCCGAAGUUCGGGGUCCCAAGACCCCCCAGCGGAAAAAUGGCCAAAAAACGGUGGGCUAUAGCCUUGGUGGGGGGCGUGGGCGAAGUUCGUCCGCGGGACUCGGAAUGGCACCAGACUUGGCGGGCGGCCUCCGUGUGCCAAAAAUAGGCCACGGGCACAGCCGCGCCCAAAAAACAGCCCCCGAAGUUCGGGGUCCCAAGACCCCCCAGCGGAAAAAUGGCCAAAAAACGGUGGGCUAUAGCCUUGGUGGGGGGCGUGGGCGAAGUUCGUCCGCGGGACUCGGAAUGGCACCAGACUUGGCGGGCGGCCUCCGUGUGCCAAAAAUAGGCCACGGGCACAGCCGCGCCCAAAAAACAGCCCCCGAAGUUCGGGGUCCCAAGACCCCCCAGCGGAAAAAUGGCCAAAAAACGGUGGGCAAUAGCCUUGGUGGGGGGC
This 4513-nucleotide long non-coding RNA is filed under the name Citrus x clementina. RNAcentral describes it as "Citrus clementina (C. clementina) long non-coding RNA (CCLE_LNC006298)". The record is from RNAcentral. Lineage: Eukaryota; Viridiplantae; Streptophyta; Magnoliopsida; Sapindales; Rutaceae.